RNAcentral lists this ribosomal RNA (579 nucleotides) under Mucor fragilis. RNAcentral's name for it is "eukaryotic LSU rRNA". The stretch from base 189 to 341 matches the Rfam family "5.8S ribosomal RNA". The record is from RNAcentral. Lineage: Eukaryota; Fungi; Mucoromycota; Mucoromycetes; Mucorales; Mucoraceae.
GUCCAUCAUUAUCUAUUUACUGUGAACUGUAUUAUUACUUGACGCUUGAGGGAUGUUCCAAUGCUAUAAGGAUAGGCACUGGAAAUGUUAACCGAGUCAUAAUCAAGCUUAGGCUUGGUAUCCUAUUAUUAUUUACCAAAAGAAUUCAGAAUUAAUAUUGUAACAUAGACGUAAAAAAUCUAUAAAACAACUUUUAACAACGGAUCUCUUGGUUCUCGCAUCGAUGAAGAACGUAGCAAAGUGCGAUAACUAGUGUGAAUUGCAUAUUCAGUGAAUCAUCGAGUCUUUGAACGCAACUUGCGCUCAUUGGUAUUCCAAUGAGCACGCCUGUUUCAGUAUCAAAACAAACCCUCUAUCCAACUUUUUUGUUGAAUAGGAUGACUGAGAGUCUCUUGAUCUAUUCUGAUCUUGAACCUCUUGAAAUGUACAAAGGCCUGAUCUUGUUUGAAUGCCUGAACUUUUUUUUAAUAUAAAGAGAAGCUCUUGCGAUAAAACUGUGCUGGGGCCUCCCAAAUAACACAUCUUUAAAUUUGAUCUGAAAUCAGGUGGGAUUACCCGCUGAACUUAAGCAUAUCAAUA